This 497-nucleotide ribosomal RNA is filed under the name uncultured bacterium. RNAcentral's name for it is "partial 16S ribosomal RNA". It matches the Rfam family "Bacterial small subunit ribosomal RNA", at positions 28 to 507 of the family's 1533-position model. The record is from RNAcentral.
GAUGAACGCUGGCGGCGUGCCUAAUACAUGCAAGUCGAGCGAACGGACGAGAAGCUUGCUUCUCUGAUGUUAGCGGCGGACGGGUGAGUAACACGUGGAUAACCUACCUAUAAGACUGGGAUAACUUCGGGAAACCGGAGCUAAUACCGGAUAAUAUUUUGAACCGCAUGGUUCAAAAGUGAAAGACGGUCUUGCUGUCACUUAUAGAUGGAUCCGCGCUGCAUUAGCUAGUUGGUAAGGUACCGGCUUACCAAGGCAACGAUGCAUAUCCGACCUGAGAGGGUGAUCGGCCACACGGGAACUGAGACACGGUCCAGACUCCUACGGGAGGCAGCAGUAGGGAAUCUUCCGCAAUGGGCGAAAGCCUGACGGAGCAACGCCGCGUGAGUGAUGAAGGUCUUCGGAUCGUAAAACUCUGUUAUUAGGGAAGAACAUAUGUGUAAGUAACUGUGCACAUCUUGACGGUACCUAAUCAGAAAGCCACGGCUAACUACGUG